UAAAGUUACUAAGGGCGUACGGGGGAUGCCUAGGUACAUGGAGUCGAUGAAGGACGUGGUAAGCUGCGAUAAGCCUCGGGUAAGUGCAAACUACUUUAAAUCCGGGGAUUUCCGAAUGGGGCAACCCGGCUCGGGUUAUACCGAGUCACUCCCAUCUGAAUACAUAGGAUGGGUAGAGGUAACGGAGUGAACUGACACAUCUAAGUAACUCCAGGAAUAGAAAUCAAAAGAGAUUCCCUAAGUAGCGGCGAGCGAACGGGGAAAAGCCUAAACCAUUAACGUGCCAAACCUGUAAGUAUUGCGCUAGUGGUGUUGUGGGAUCAUUUUAGAACCGGUUACAGACGGUUCGACAAGUCAAAAAGUCAUUGAUUAAUAGAAUGGAAUGGAAAGUCCAGCCAUAGAAGGUGAUAGCCCUGUAUAUGAAAAUCAUAGAUCUUGUUGAAAAUGACACCCGAGUAACGCGGGACACGAGAAAUCUUGCGUGAAUCUGCCAGGACCAUCUGGUAAGGCUAAAUACUUCCAUGUAACCGAUAGCGAACUAGUACCGUGAGGGAAAGGUGAAAAGUACUCCUAACGGAGAGUGAAAUAGAACCUGAAACCGUAUGCCUACAAGCAGUCGGAGUUCCGAUUUAUCGGGAUGACGGCGUGCCUUUUGCAUAAUGAGCCAGCGAGUUGCUCGUAUGUUGCAAGGUUAAUCCCUUUAUGGGAGGAGCCGAAGCGAAAGCGAGUCUGAAUAGGGCGAUUCAGUAACAUGCGGCAGACCCGAAGCCGAGUGAUCUAUCCAUGGCCAGGUUGAAGCGACAGUAACAUGUUGUGGAGGACCGAACCCACAAGGGUUGAAAACCUUGGGGAUGAGCUGUGGAUAGGGGUGAAAGACCAAUCAAACUCGGCGAUUUCUGGUUCUCCCCGAAAUGCCUUUAGGGGCAGCGUCGUGGAAGUGCCUCGGGGGUAGAGCACUGGAUGGACUAGGGGCCCUACAAGGUUACCAAACCCAACCAAACUCCGAAUACCGAGGUUACGAUCCCCGGCAGUGAGGCCACGGGGGAUAAGCUUCGUGGCCGAGAGGGAAACAACCCAGACCAACAGCUAAGGUCCCAAAAUCUGAGUUAAGUGACUAAGGAUGUAAGAUUGCACAGACAGCUAGGAGGUUGGCUUAGAAGCAGCCAUCCUUUAAAGAAAGCGUAAUAGCUCACUAGUUAAGGAAUCUUGCGCCGAUAAUCUCCGGGACUGUUAAACUCAGUACCGAAGCUCUGGUCCCGGCACAUUUGUGUCGGGAGGUAGGGGAGCGUUCCAUCUACCUGUGAAGUCCUAGACGGGAGUCGGGAUGGAGGAAAUGGAAGUGAGUAUGCUGGCAUGAGUAGCGAUAAUUCCAGUGAAAUUCUGGGACACCAAAAGCCUAAGGUUUCCUGAGUAAAGUAACUCUGCUCAGGGUUAGUCGGUCCCUAAGCCGAGGCCGAAAGGCGUAGGCGAUGGAUAACAGGUGAAUAUUCCUGUACCACCCAAUCAUCGUUUGAACGAUGGGGGGACGCAGAAGUGAAAGAUCAGCCCGGUUUUGAUUGUCCGGGUUUAAGUGUGUAGGGAGUUCUGGCAGGCAAAUCCACCGGAACCAUCCUGAGACACGAAUAGGAGGGCCUAGCCCACAAACUGAUCCUAAUCAUGCUGCCUAGAAAAUCCUCUAAGUGAGAUUUUUGGGUGACCGUACCGUAAACGGACACACGUAGGCGAGAAGAGUAUUCUAAGGUGCUUGGGUUAAUCGUGGUAAAGGAACUCGGCAAAUUGGCCCCGUAACUUCGGGAGAAGGGGCGCCUCAAGUAGGUAAAGGCCUUCGCGGCUGGAGCCCAAAGAGGUCGCAGAAACCAGGGUUGAGCGACUGUUUACCAAAAACACAGGUCUCUGCUAAGUCGCAAGACGAAAUAUAGGGACUGACACCUGCCCGGUGCCGGAAGGUUAAGUAGAGGGGUUAUCUCGAUUCGUCGAGAGAAGCUCUGAAAUGAAGCCCCGGUGAACGGCGGCCGUAACUAUAACGGUCCUAAGGUAGCGAAAUUCCUUGUCGGGUAAGUUCCGACCCGCACGAAUGGCGUAACGACUUCCCCACUGUCUCCAACAUCGACUCAGCGAAAUUGAAUUCUCCGUGAAGAUGCGGAGUACCCGCGGUCAGACGGAAAGACCCCGUGCACCUUUACUACAGCUUUGCAGUGGUAUCAGGAAUUCUAUGUGUAGGAUAGGUGGGAGGCUUUGAAGCGUGGGCGCCAGUUCACGUGGAGCUAACCUUGAAAUACCACCCUUAUGAUUUUUGCUAUCUAACCGCGGUCCGUUAUCCGGAUUCGGGACCCUGCAUGGCGGGUAGUUUGACUGGGGCGGUCGCCUCCCAAAGAGUAACGGAGGCGUGCAACGGUAGGCUCAGGUUGGUCGGAAAUCAACCGCUGAGUGCAAUGGCAUAAGCCUGCCUGACUGUGAGUCCGACGGGACGAGCAGAGAC
RNAcentral lists this ribosomal RNA (2479 nucleotides) under marine metagenome. RNAcentral describes it as "bacterial LSU rRNA". It matches the Rfam family "Bacterial large subunit ribosomal RNA", at positions 1 to 2400 of the family's 2925-position model. The record is from RNAcentral.